This 417-nucleotide ribosomal RNA is filed under the name uncultured Methanosaeta sp. RNAcentral's name for it is "bacterial SSU rRNA". It matches the Rfam family "Archaeal small subunit ribosomal RNA", at positions 330 to 747 of the family's 1478-position model. Lineage: Archaea; Methanobacteriati; Methanobacteriota; Methanomicrobia; Methanotrichales; Methanotrichaceae. The record is from RNAcentral.
GUGCAGCAGUCGAGAAUACUUUACAAUGCGGGCAACCGCGAUAAGGGGACCUCGAGUGCUGGGUUACAAACCUGGCUGUUGGGCUGCCUAAAAAGCAGUCUAUAGCAAGGGCCGGGCAAGACCGGUGCCAGCCGCCGCGGUAACACCGGCGGCUCGAGUGGUAACCGCUAUUAUUGGGUCUAAAGGGUCUGUAGCCGGCCGACUAAGUCUCUUGGGAAAUCUGGCAUCUCAAGUGUCAGGCUGCCAGGGGAUACUGGUCGGCUUGGGACCGGGAGAGGUGAGAGGUACCUCGGGGGUAGGGGUGAAAUCUUGUAAUCCUCGAGGGACCACCAGUGGCGAAGGCGUCUCACCAGAACGGAUCCGACGGCAAGGGACGAAAGCUAGGGGCACGAACCGGAUUAGAUACCCUUGUAGUCC